Molecule: long non-coding RNA, 414 nt
Organism: Gorilla gorilla gorilla (western lowland gorilla)
Lineage: Eukaryota; Metazoa; Chordata; Mammalia; Primates; Hominidae
Exons: 3
Source: RefSeq, a predicted model, not a curated record
GAGUCCUCCUUGUAGCUGCAGAAUUUGAGAAGAGCUGCAGGAGGACUCAUUUUCAGGACACUUGUGACAGUCUAAUCAUAGGGCACCACCUAAGGUGGCAGCGUAAACACAGUCUGUCCCCAGACUAUAACCAGAUGCUCCUACUUGAGACCAAACAGCAAAUGGGUUAGGCUCCAAGCCAGAAGAGAGCUGGGGGUCCCACCUUCUGUCCUCUCCAUGCAUCCUGUCCAAAACCUCUAAAAACCUAUUGAAUGUAUAAAAGAUCAGCGGAAAUACCAUGUUUUCUACAAGGAGCAUGUCCCACUUUCAACAUUGUAAAAAAUGUGCAAGCCUUGUUUCUGUUUCUAAAAGCAGCCUGACUGCUGAAGCUUACCUUCAGUCAAGGGAAAGAUUUCACUCAUCUUCUGGCGGGCC